This 3690-nucleotide long non-coding RNA is filed under the name Heterocephalus glaber (naked mole-rat). RNAcentral's name for it is "lncRNA (ENSHGLG00000050073.1)". The record is from RNAcentral. Lineage: Eukaryota; Metazoa; Chordata; Mammalia; Rodentia; Bathyergidae.
CACACAGUCUCCGCUCUUCCUGUGAGGCCAUUGUCUCCUCUUCUUGAACACCUUGUUUUGACCACAUUGGCAGUUUUCUCUUAGUAUUUUGGAAUAUUUUAAAUUAUUGUGGGGCAUAUGAAAUUUGUGUUCUUAAAAAAUCAACAGUUCUCUUUGCUCAGAAAUAGUUUUAUUAAUUUUUUGUGGUUUUCUUUUUGCUGCUACAUGCAGUUGACAAACAUUUGAAAUGAACUGUGGGUUAUAGUGAAUCUAAGAAUAAUGUUGUUAUUCUCAGGCUUUAUUUUUUUUUGUUUUGUUUUGUUUUGUUUUUUUCAGUCGGCGGGAUCGAACUCAGGUCCUUGUGCUUAUAGAGGCCGAGCGCCGAACCACUGAGCUAAAUCCCCAGACCACUCAGGCUAGCUUUAAAUUAACAGGAAAAAAUGAGCCUGGGCUCUGGACCUGAGUCCAUGGACUGCUGGGCACAGUGCUGUGAAGCCAUGGUUUGGAUCAGACCUGGGAUCCUCUCUGUUCUGUAAUAAUCCGUCCUCUCAGCUCCACUCAGCUGCUAGUGCAGAGACAGGGAAGUAAGGACGUUGUGUACAGAACAGAGAGAAGAGAGCCAUCCCACAGAAGACUCGGCCCACCAGGGAGGAUGCUCCACACUCUACCAUGUGGGGGCCACAUCAGCGAAUGCUCAGUGAUCACCUUCCUAAACCCAGUCACAAGACAAAGCCUCGCCUGGAGAAGGAACUGGAGGGCAGAGCUGAGGGUCAUCCAUCCCAACGUGACAAGGAAUGGGAAUGAGGAGAGGGUUCACAGGAAUGCCAGGAUACUCAUCCUGCAAAUGGGGAUGAGAAUGAGUCCCUGACUCCCUCAGGUAGCAUACAGAAGACCUCAGGAAUCACAGCCUAGUCUCUGCUGAUGGUUUUAUUUCUUCUCAGGUGCUGAGGUCCACUCAUGUGAAGACCUAGUGAAACUCUGUGAUGCCUCCCUCCUCUUCCUGAAGUCACUCCAUUCAAAUAAAUCCCAGCAUUACCGAGAUCCAACCUUCACCUCAGUUUCCGUUACCACCUCAAUUCCAAAUCCACACCCAGUUUACUUAUCUUACCCUGUCCUGCUGCUUUCAAUAUUUUCUCCGUGAGACCAAUCCUAUUUUUAACAAUGCCUUAUCUGUGUAAUUGACAUAGGGGGAAGAGAUGUAACUCCCAGACCUACUAGAUAUCUGAAAGCGUGAGUUAGUGUUCUCUAAUAUCAAAGAAUGAAUUCCAAGAACAAUGGAGGUUAAGAGUAGGAAAAAUUUAUUGAGAGAAAGAAAGCUUCUGUCUAAGAGAGACAGAAGGGGACGAGAAAGUGGGUUGCCCGCCCACCCCAAUUUUCAAAGAUGUUUUAUUCAGCAAAGCCAAGUGAUGAGGCGGGUACACAGUGGAACAAAACUAUAAGACCCAAUGGAAACUUACAAGGAGGGCAUUAGAUGGGACAAAACCAUGACCAACCAAUAAGAUUACAAGUACAGUCACCCAGGUAAUAUUGAUUAAAUGGGGAUCAAAUGGGAAGACAAGUCACAUACAAGGAGUUUCCCAUUUAGAAUAUCAAUCACUGCCAUCUAUCUCUAGGGGAAGUAGUGCCUCUUCUUUGUAUAACGCUAACCAGUGAACCCUAACCCUAACCCUAAGGGGAGCUCCGCGACCCCCAGACAGUCUGCUCCCCGGCCGGGGCCCUCCUCCUCGGCUCCCUCUCCUACAGCGGCUAACCUCGGCUCGCCAGCCUUCGCCCGCGGCGCCCUCUUGUGGCAAUCCCCGGAAACGCCUCUGAACACUGUCAGAGGCACCGAGGCACAGGGCCCCGGGAUACUCGCUGAGAACCUGGGACCCCGGACCCGGACCCGGACCCGGAGCCGGGAUUCCAGGCUGUGGCAGCACAUCCUCCCUCUUUGGGUUCCCCAAGGUGCUGAUCAUCAGCUGAACAUAUUUAUUUUCGCACUUGCUGGUUUAUCGCACACUGUGUGUUUCACCUAAGGUGCGCGUGGUAAUUGAUAGGAAUGACCUCGUCCUCAGCCCACAAGAGCUGGGCUGCAGACCGAGGCCGAGUUACUGAACAGCCAAUGGCAAGCCUGAGGCGUGACGCUCGAGAGGCCAGGGGCGCCUGCGCCGGGAGAGGGGCAGGACUGCGGUCGUGGGCAGCGUCUCCCUCGCGGGUCGGAGUGCGGUUUCCCCUGCACAAAGGCCCGCAGAAGCGAGACGGAGGAUCUCAGACCCCGUGUGACCCCGAAUCCAUAGAGCCCCAGUCUUGGGUCCGGAAAUGCAUCUCUCUUCCUGAGCAUGGGGGUACAGAGCCAGGACCAGAGCCCUCUUCGGCUUCUCAGCUCAUCCUCACAGCAGAGCCCGUCCCAAGCUUGGGGGUCACCUCAAGGUCGGGAGCUCAUCCUGAGGGGAGCCGGAACCGGAGCCCCAGCGCGCCUGGGUCACGUGUUCGGGAGGGGACAGUGAGGGACAGGCCUGCUGGUUCCCGGGACAGGUGAGCCCACCCCGGGCGGAUGCGUGGAAGAGAACAAGGGCUUUUCCCUCUUUGGGGGGGGGGGGGUACCAGGGAUCGAACUUGGGUCCUUGUACUUGCAAGGCAGGCACCAGAACCACUGAGCUAAAUCCCUGGCUUCCCUCUAAUUUUUAUUGAGGUGAAAUUUAAAUAACAAAGUUAACCUUCUAUUAAAUUAAUGUUGUCCUGGUGAAAGCCCAGCCUGCCCGGGAACAGAGGAGGUAACCGACCAUGGCUGGAGCGGGCAGCGGGGAGAGGAAAGAGGGGGCCUGACACGGGAGGCUCUGCACAAAGGAGAGAAGGGAAGCUCCCUGGCGGAGGACGGUGGAAACUGGAGAGAAGCGCAGGAGAGGCCUCGGGUGGGGUCGCAGCAGGGAAUCCGCGGUGUGCAAGGCCCGGGCCUCCCACAGGGACAGAGGCGUUGGCCAGGUGCCCACGGCCCCUCCCCAGCCCUCGCCGUGCCUGCACCCCACACGCGCACACACAUGCACACACACACACACACAUGCCUCAAGUCCCCGCCGGGCCCUAGUGAUGGUGCCCCUGCCUCCUGAGCACCUGGCGGGGCCCCCGUGCUGGCAGCCAGGGGACCUCAGGGCGUGCGCGGGGCGGGCAGCAGGCCUGUGCAUGGCUCGGACCCGGAGCCGGCAGCCGUUUCUUCCGGCUGUGCCAGGCCUCGGCCAGGAACCCGCCAGGAGGACCAGAACCAGGGCGCCCAGGCCACCGGCACCAGGUUGCCCUUGGCGUAGUGCAGGUGGCGAAACCUGGGGGAGAAGGCGCCGUGGCGGGAGGCCAAACCAGGACACGCCAGGCCACAGAAUCCCUGACCCAGACCCUACUGUCCCCUCCAGCUGGGGUGCAGCUCCCUCCCCCAGAGAGGCUCCACGGGCCCCCACUCACCCCCGCCCACCCCCAGGGCCCCCGCUGGGCUGACUGAUUGAAGAGGAGGACACAGUGGGAAGGGCCAGGGAGCGGGGAGGGGGAUCUUCUUCUCUGACCCUCAGGAAAACCCUAACCUCCCCACCUGAUCUUGUUGCCCAGUCUGGAGCUGGCGCUGGAUCACCCUGUCCCAGUUAAUGCUGCACACACGGACCAGGGAGCCCUGGGCUCCUCUACAGAGAAAGGGUGCGUUUCCGAGGGUGCACUUCGGGGAGGAGGCGGCGAGCAGGGAGAGGCCUG